AUUUUCAGAUUUUAGAGAGAGAGAAAGGAUAGUUAGAGAGAGAAAGGAGAGGAUCCAACAAGUUGAAGGCCUCAAAUCCCAAGGCUCGUGAAGGAUAAAGUGUAGUACAAGUUCUUGCCGUCGUUCUAAGCUACAAAUCAAACUUUGGAAGUUGAUUUCGUGGUGGAUGCUCACAAAAGAUCAAAGUUGAAAGGGGUGACGAACAUUGUAUUACGCUCAAAGGCUGGAAUUAAGGUAACGAUACACAGGUUGACGACUCAGCUAAUUAGGAGUGCACAUAUCAGCUAUUGGUGAGCCCCACAUUCAUUCGGGGCGUUGUCAGCUAUCCAGUUAUUUCAGUUUAUAGACAGCUCUAUUAUUCAGUACUCUUAGAGGCUUCAUAGACACAGUUCAGACAGUCAGAUAUUUAUUAUGUUAGCCUUGUUGGCAGUCGUUCAGUUGUUUGGAUUAGCCAUGUUGGCUAAUUUCAUAUAUGUUCAGAUUGCUUAAGUAUUUCCGCAUUAUGAUAUUUCAGUGAGACUUUCAGUUGAUCAGCAUGUGUUAGUUUUAUUCUAUAAAUUAGUUAUGUUUUGGUAUCACAUGUUGAUUCAGCAGCCAGUUGGUUCGCUCGGUCACAUGCAGUCAGGC
Lycium barbarum (goji berry) is the source of this 627-nucleotide long non-coding RNA. RefSeq lists it as uncharacterized. Lineage: Eukaryota; Viridiplantae; Streptophyta; Magnoliopsida; Solanales; Solanaceae. The record is from RefSeq and is a predicted model, not a curated record. The transcript has 3 exons.